UGUCAAUGGCUCUUAGCAAGGUCACCUUAAAAACAACCGUAUGCGAGGCACGGAUGCCGAAGCAAGCUUUCACGGUCACGGAUGACCAUUGAAAGCGUUAGGUUUUUUUUAGGCGACCUUGCUUAGUGCCAUCAAUU
Molecule: non-coding RNA, 137 nt
Organism: Clostridia bacterium BRH_c25
Lineage: Bacteria; Bacillati; Bacillota; Clostridia
Source: Rfam